CUGUUACCCCGUGACAAAGUUGUGUCCCUCUUCAUGGCAGACAAAGGUACAUUCUUGGGUUAUGUCAUUCAUUGUUCACUGGGGCAUAUUUAAGCACAAAAAGUUCCCCAUAAACAUUUGAAGUAUCAGAGUCUAAUACUGGUUUUCUGGUGUGCUCCUGGAAACAGGUUUUCACAAAAUCCCUUUUCUGACCAAGGUUUAUAAAACUAAUCUAAACUUGUCUGUUCCUCCCCUUUACUAGAGAUAAUAUCCUAUCCUAGCCAUCCCACCUAAUGGGUAAAGCAAAGCUGAAAGUUCUUCCUCACUUUGAUGGUUUGGGAUCAGUUUCUUAUGAUAAAUCACAGAUUCUGGGGCCUGUGACAUCAGAGGCACAGCUGUUAGUUUACCAGUAACAUUGAAAGACAUUCUGGCAUGUAUUUUUGCAGCCUUCAGGGUGUUUUUAAAGAGCAAGCUUCAUAACUUUUUGAUAUGUUGGGUAAGAGGGGGUGGAUGCAAAAGUAAACAGUCACACUGUGGGAGCUGCCAAAUCAAACCCAGGGAUCCUGGCAGGGAGGAGAGGGAGGGAGAAUGACUGUGCUGGAGCAACACUCAGAGCAGAGAGAACUCUCUUACACUGAGGCUUCAGCCUGUCUUAAAGUAAAAGUUUUCAUCUCUCUUUAUCCUAAUAACUAUUAAGUAGUAAGCCUGCUUUGAUACUGAAUGCAGAAAACACUGAUUUUUGCUGUCAACUUUGUAAACAUUUUCACAAUAUCUGUCUCCUUUGCUUUGCACUGUGUUUCUCUGAGAAACUCAGAGAAAAUUAAUUCCUAAAUGUGAAAAGGAACUUUAACUUUUUUACUGCAUUUCAGGGCUGGAUAUGGCUCUGAGCUGGGCAGAAAGGUCUGUUCAGCCAUUUCUCAUCACAAAAUCACUUUUCUGUUCCUUUCCCUCUCCAUUUCCAGCAUUUUGAUCUCAGGAUGAAAAUUAAGAAUAAAUGUUAAAGAACAUGUUCGUUCUUAGAGAUAUGAUGUGCACAACUUGUGAGGAAAAAUCCCAGCUUGACUGCCACAUCAGACAAGUUAGAAAUACAAAAGGACUUCCUGCUCUGACAAAAGCUCUGGCUGGAUGCUAAUCACUCAUUUGCCGUAUGUGUGAGGAAACCACUGACAACCAAUACUCUAAGAAAGGUCCUAAAACACAGUGCACUGGUCUGCGGAGUAAGGAAAAGCACUGGUUAUUCAAAUAACAGUACAUGUGGACAACUGCAUGGAUCUGACAGUAAACUACCACCUUCACCAAUUCUAAUGGGAUUACUUAGUGCAAAUGUCUCUUGGAGGCCACUUUUAUGAACCUGUU
RNAcentral lists this long non-coding RNA (1335 nucleotides) under Parus major (Great Tit). RNAcentral's name for it is "lncRNA (ENSPMJG00000001538.1)". The record is from RNAcentral. Lineage: Eukaryota; Metazoa; Chordata; Aves; Passeriformes; Paridae.